GGAAAUGCGCAGAUAUCAGGAAGGAACCCCGAUGGCGAAAGGCAGAUCUUUGGCCCGUAACUGACGUNAGAAGCGAAAGCGUGGGAAGCGAANCAGGAUUAGAUACCUUGGUAGUCCACGCCGUAACGUUGGCGCUAGAUGUAGGACCUUUCCACGGUUUCUGUGUCGUAGCUAACGCAUUAAGCGCCCCGCNUGGGGAGUACGGCCGCAAGGCUAAAACUCAAAGGAAUUGACGGGGGCCCGCACAAGCGGCGGAGCAUGCGGAUUAAUUCGAUGCAACGCGAAGAACCUUACCAAGGCUUGACAUACACCGGAAACGGCCAGAGAUGGUCGCCCCCUUGUGGUCGGUGUACAGGUGGUGCAUGGUUGUCGUCAGCUCGUGUCGUGAGAUGUUGGGUUAAGUCCCGCAACGAGCGCAACCCUCGUUCUAUGUUGCCAGCGCGUUAUGGCGGGGACUCAUAGGAGACUGCCGGGGUCAACUCGGAGGAAGGUGGGGAUGACGUCAAAUCAUCAUGCCCCUUAUGUCUUGGGCUUCACGCAUGCUACAAUGGCCGGUACAAAGGGCUGCGAUACCGUAAGGUGGAGCGAAUCCCAAAAAGCCGGUCUCAGUUCGGAUUGAGGUCUGCAACUCGACCUCAUGAAGUCGGAGUCGCUAGUAAUCGCAGAUGAGCAAC
RNAcentral lists this ribosomal RNA (674 nucleotides) under Curtobacterium citreum. RNAcentral's name for it is "bacterial SSU rRNA". It matches the Rfam family "Bacterial small subunit ribosomal RNA", at positions 682 to 1356 of the family's 1533-position model. Lineage: Bacteria; Bacillati; Actinomycetota; Actinomycetes; Micrococcales; Microbacteriaceae. The record is from RNAcentral.